AUGGCUGUCGUCAGCUCGUGUCGUGAGAUGUUGGGUUAAGUCCCGUAACGAGCGCAACCCCUAUCCUUAUUUGCCAGCACAUUAUGGUGGGAACUAUAAGGAGACUGCCGGUGAUAAACCGGAGGAAGGCGGGGACGACGUCAAGUCAUCAUGGCCCUUACGACCAGGGCUACACACGUGCUACAAUGGGAAGGACAAAGAGCCGCGAAGCCGCGAGGUGUAGCUAAUCUCAUAAAUCUUUUCGUAGUCCGGAUUGGAGUCUGCAACUCGACUCCAUGAAGUCGGAAUCGCUAGUAAUCGUAGAUCAGAAUGCUACGGUGAAUACGUUCCCGGGUCUUGUACACACCGCCCGUCAUACCAUGGGAGUGGGUUGCACCAGAAGUGGCUAGUCUAACUUUGUGAGGACGGUCACCACGGUGUGAUUCAUGACUGGGGUAAAGUCGUAACAAGGUAGCCCUACCGGAAGGUGGGGCUGGAUCACCUCCUUAAAAUAUGCAUUCUCUGCAAGUACCCACAACCUAUUGUUUGUUUCCAUUUUUGGCAAGAUGCUGUAACGCAUCGUUCUGAGCCCGGCUGCUAUUUACUGCAGCCGCUUAAGAGCUAUGUAUUUAAGUGUUUUAGCCCAGCGCGUCAUGCGCUUUGUAUCGGUGGCCCCGAUGCAGGUUCUUUAAAAAAGUGAAUAAGUGAUAAAGUCUGUAAAUAAUCAAUGAUUGAAACCUAUUGAUUAAAUACAAAAAUUAACAUCCGCAAAUAAGAUAUUGUUUCUGUUCGGCUCAUACAUAAUUCAAACGGUGUACAGGUCGAUAUACUUCAGAAACAAGACUCACAUUUGUAAAAUUCAAGCGUAAUAUCCGGUGAAUCAAUAUUUUGUAAUGUUAACCCUGGUGAAGUAUCAAAAGGACAGGGUUAAGAGUUCAUUCAAUUUAUAUGAUCAAGCGAAUAAGCGCAUAUGGUGGAUGCCUAGGCAGUUGGAGGCGAUGAAGGACGUUGUAGCCUGCGAUAAGCUCGGGGGAGCUGGCAAACAAGCGCUAUAUCCCGAGAUGUCCGAAUGGGGAAACCCGG
This 1062-nucleotide small RNA is filed under the name uncultured bacterium. Its description in RNAcentral is "bacterial SSU rRNA". The stretch from base 1 to 488 matches the Rfam family "Bacterial small subunit ribosomal RNA", at positions 1045 to 1533 of the family's 1533-position model. The record is from RNAcentral.